This is a non-coding RNA of Zootermopsis nevadensis, 985 nucleotides long. The record is from RefSeq and is a predicted model, not a curated record. NCBI's taxonomy places the organism in Eukaryota, Metazoa, Arthropoda, Insecta, Blattodea, Termopsidae.
AAACAUCUAGUAAACCAAUUCAGUAUUAAUUGUGUUUGUAAAGCAAUUGACAAGGUUAUGUACUAUAGACUACGCUCUAAAUUUAUACCAACUACAAAUUGGUCCCAGAACAGUUUCAUUUCAAGUGCCAGCCACUCAGAAGAACACAAUAUUUUGUAAACUGGUUGUUUCCAUCCUCAGGUUAAAAGAGACAGUAUUGACAAUUUUUACCCACUGCUUCUGUCUCUGCUGUUGAAAUCAGCAGGGACAUUCAGCCCCUUAGAGGUUCCAAAUGUGCUUGACUGGAUGGAGUUCCACCAUUAAUAAUUAAGGUUAUACAGCAUUCAGCGCAAAAAUAAUUUAUACAUCGCUUAAAAAAAAGAGUAAAGCUGUCCCUAUAUGUGCCAUGUAGGGCUCUAGCAAAAUAUAAAUCACUUAAUACUUUUUUCUACCUAUGGACCUACGGAAAAUCGAUACUGUGGGCAAUGGGCCAGUGUACAGCUGAAACAAUAAAAUUAUCCCAGGUGACCACUGCAAAUACAAGUUAAAUUCAGCGGGACGCAGUAGCUAAUAAACAUACCUACACAUUAUGAAAUAUUGUUACACAAUGAUUAUUUUACCAAAAUGCAAGAAUUUGGGUGUUUUAUUACUCUGACAACAGAAGCAACGUGAAGAUAAAAUUUCACUAAUGUUUACAAGAGUAUAUAUUUGAUGUAGGAGAAAUAUCUAAAAAUAUGCACAAUGCCCCAUACUAAACAGUAAAGUCCUAAUUAAACAACAUAUAUCACCCUAUAACAUCAUAACCAAGAUUUUGGUGCUAUAUUCACAUUUGCAGAUGUAUGUACAUAAAUGAGUAAUUUGUCACCUUCUGAUUGAACUUAUUACAUCUUAAAUAGUAUCUUUGAAUUCCUUCUGUUUCUAACAUCUAAACUAACUAAAACUAGUAUUGUUAGACACAAUACUCCAAAAUCAGCUUUACUGCUGCAUCAACUGAAGAUGUUAUGAA